CAAAUGAAUUGACGGGACCGCACAAGCGGUGGAUGAUGUGGUUUAAUUCGAUGCAACGCGAAAACCUUACCCACCUUUGACAUGUACGGAAUCCUUUAGAGAUAGAGGAGUGCUCGAAAGAGAACCGUAACACAGGUGCUGCAUGGCUGUCGUCAGCUCGUGUCGUGAGAUGUUGGGUUAAGUCCCGCAACGAGCGCAACCCUUGUCAUUAGUUGCUACAUUCAGUUGGGCACUCUAAUGAGACUGCCGGUGACAAGCCGGAGGAAGGUGGGGAUGACGUCAAGUCCUCAUGGCCCUUAUAGGUGGGGCUACACACGUCAUACAAUGGCUGGUACAAAGGGUUGCCAACCCGCGAGGGGGAGCCAAUCCCAUAAAGCCAGUCGUAGUCCGGAUCGUAGUCUGCAACUCGACUACGUGAAGUCGGAAUCGCUAGUAAUCGUGGAUCAGAAUGUCACGGUGAAUACGUUCCCGGGUCUU
RNAcentral lists this ribosomal RNA (477 nucleotides) under uncultured Rhodoferax sp. RNAcentral's name for it is "bacterial SSU rRNA". It matches the Rfam family "Bacterial small subunit ribosomal RNA", at positions 902 to 1382 of the family's 1533-position model. Lineage: Bacteria; Pseudomonadati; Pseudomonadota; Betaproteobacteria; Burkholderiales; Comamonadaceae. The record is from RNAcentral.